Molecule: long non-coding RNA, 537 nt
Filed under: Lathyrus oleraceus (garden pea)
Lineage: Eukaryota; Viridiplantae; Streptophyta; Magnoliopsida; Fabales; Fabaceae
Description: Pisum sativum (pea) long non-coding RNA (PSAT_LNC039828)
Source: RNAcentral
GGUUGAGAGCGAUUGGGUGAGCGUUGAUGAGCGAUUUUGAGAGCAGUGAAGUUUGGAGAUAUCGUGAGAGCGUCGAGAGAUUGAGAGAAGAGAGAUUGAGAGCGAGUACGCGUUUGGGGAGAGAACAAAGACGAUGGUCUGUUCUUUGUUCCCAUUUCUUUUUUCUUUUUUUUAAUUUAUUUUUAAACAAAGAUAAGCAUUGAAACCAUAUUUUUUUUUAUGUUUUUAAACUUCCUAAGUUUUCAUUUUUAACUUCCUAAGUUUAAUAAAUAUUUUCUCAUUUUCAAUUCAUAUGCCAUUGAGAAACCCAGCAGCCAGGCGGCUGGGUUUUUUGUUGGUAAACCAACAGACCUUCAUUAUUGUUAUUUUAGUUCCUUUUUAUUUUUAUUCCAAUCUAGUCUGGUUUAUAUGUUUAAGCUGUUAUUUAAAUGACAACUAAUGAUAAAUGAUCUAGUGGAGAGGGGGGUGUUUUCUAUGGUCUUUAGUGGAGUGGGUUCAAUACUCAUGUAUAGCAUUCUAUUUCUUUUGGAAUUUUUU